RNAcentral lists this small nuclear RNA (192 nucleotides) under Salmo salar (Atlantic salmon). RNAcentral's name for it is "U2 spliceosomal RNA". It matches the Rfam family "U2 spliceosomal RNA". Rfam says of the family: U2 is a small nuclear RNA (snRNA) component of the spliceosome (involved in pre-mRNA splicing). Complementary binding between U2 snRNA (in an area lying towards the 5' end but 3' to hairpin I) and the branchpoint sequence (BPS) of the intron results the bulging out of an unpaired adenosine, on the BPS, which initiates a nucleophilic attack at the intronic 5' splice site, thus starting the first of two transesterification reactions that mediate splicing. Lineage: Eukaryota; Metazoa; Chordata; Actinopteri; Salmoniformes; Salmonidae. The record is from Rfam by way of RNAcentral.
CCCGUUUUCUCGGCCUUUUGGCUGAGAUCAAGUGUAGUAUCUGUUCUUAUCAGUUUAAUAUCUGAUACGUCCCCCAUCGGGGGACUACAUAUUAAAUGGAUUUUUCGAACAGGGAGUCGGAAAUGGGGCUUGCUCCGUCCGCUCCACGCAUCGACCAGGUACUGCAGUACCUCCGGGAACGGUGCAACACUU